Molecule: ribosomal RNA, 397 nt
Filed under: bacterium
Lineage: Bacteria
Description: partial 16S ribosomal RNA
Rfam family: Bacterial small subunit ribosomal RNA
Source: RNAcentral
UGGGGAAUUUUGCACAAUGGGGGAAACCCUGAUGCAGCGACGCCGCGUGAUUUAGAAGGCCUUCGGGUUGUAAAAAUCUUUUCUAUGGGAAGAAAAUGACAGUACCAUAGGAAUAAGGACCGGCUAAUUACGUGCCAGCAGCCGCGGUAAUACGUAAGGUCCGAGCGUUGUCCGGAAUCAUUGGGCGUAAAGGGUACGUAGGCGGGUAAGCAAGUUAGAAGUGAAAUCCUAUAGCUCAACUAUAGUAAGCUUUUAAAACUGCUCAUCUUGAGGUAUGGAAGGGAAAGUGGAAUUCCUAGUGUAGCGGUGAAAUGCGCAGAUAUUAGGAGGAAUACCGGUGGCGAAGGCGACUUUCUGGCCAUAACCUGACGCUGAGGUACGAAAGCGUGGGUAGCAA